GACGAACGCUGGCGGCGUGCCUAAUACAUGCAAGUCGAACGCUUCUUUCCUCCCGAGUGCUUGCACUCAAUUGGAAAGAGGAGUGGCGGACGGGUGAGUAACACGUGGGUAACCUACCCAUCAGAGGGGGAUAACACUUGGAAACAGGUGCUAAUACCGCAUAACAGUUUAUGCCGCAUGGCAUAAGAGUGAAAGGCGCUUUCGGGUGUCGUUGAUGGAUGGACCCGCGGUGCAUUAGCUAGUUGGUGAGGUAACGGCUCACCAAGGCCACGAUGCAUAGCCGACCUGAGAGGGUGAUCGGCCACACCGGGACUGAGACACGGCCCAGACUCCUACGGGAGGCAGCAGUAGGGAAUCUUCGGCAAUGGACGAAAGUCUGACCGAGCAACGCCGCGUGAGUGAAGAAGGUUUUCGGAUCGUAAAACUCUGUUGUUAGAGAAGAACAAGGACGUUAGUAACUGAACGUCCCCUGACGGUAUCUAACCAGAAAGCCACGGCUAACUACGUG
This 508-nucleotide ribosomal RNA is filed under the name uncultured bacterium. RNAcentral's name for it is "partial 16S ribosomal RNA". It matches the Rfam family "Bacterial small subunit ribosomal RNA", at positions 28 to 507 of the family's 1533-position model. The record is from RNAcentral.